ACGAACCCCGUCAGGUCCGGAAGGAAGCAGCGGUAAGUAAAACCUCUUAUGUGCCGCGAGGGUGCCUGAUCUGAGCUAACUGGUUGGGUGCCGCCUGGAAGAUCCUUUCGAAAAUAGGUGCACGG
This 125-nucleotide signal recognition particle RNA is filed under the name Bacillota bacterium. RNAcentral describes it as "Firmicutes bacterium (anaerobic digester metagenome) partial signal recognition particle sRNA large type". It matches the Rfam family "Bacterial large signal recognition particle RNA", at positions 138 to 256 of the family's 256-position model. From Rfam's summary of the family: The signal recognition particle (SRP) is a universally conserved ribonucleoprotein involved in the co-translational targeting of proteins to membranes. Archaeal SRP consists of a 7S RNA and homologues of the eukaryotic SRP19 and SRP54 proteins. Lineage: Bacteria; Bacillati; Bacillota. The record is from RNAcentral.